AUGGUUGUUGUGUUGAGGUAUGUUCACAAGCUUGGGUUAAUCCUGGAACGACUAGUUGGGGUAGUACAUGUGAAGGAAACAUCGACAAUGUGUCUCAAGUUAGCCCUUGAGAAAUUGCUUGUUGAUAUUGUAUUAAGCUUCAAACAAGUUAGAGGGCAAUACUAUGAUGGGGCGAGCAAUAUGACGGUUGAGUUCAAUGGUUUGAAAGCUAAAAUUCUAUUUUUUUACAUUAUCUCUCUUCUGUUUAAUGUGGUUGGAGCUUCUUGCAAAAGAAAAGACAUGAUCAAAGAGACUAAUAGAGAUAAUGUAAAAACAGCCAUGAGUAGUGGAGGAAUAAGUACCGGCACAGGAUUGAAUCGAGAUCAAUCACUUCAAAGGGCGGGAGACACCCACUGGGGUUCUCACCAUAGAACCCUCUCAACCUUAAUUCAGUUGUUCCAAUCAAUUGUUAGUGCCUUCAAGUAUGUAUCAAAAGAAGGCAAGAAAGAUUCCGAGAAAUGUGAAGCACGUGGUCUUCUAUCAUAUUUUGGAACCUUUGAUUUUGUGUUCUAUUUGCACAUGAUGUUCCACAUAUUAGGGAGUGCCAACACUCUGUCACAUGCAUUGCAACAAAAGGAUCAAUAUAUCUUGAAUGCAAUGUCACACUGUUGCAGGAUGCUGCUAACGCGACACUACGAUCAGAGACCCUUCGACGAAACUAUGUGCGAUGCAAUAAUCACAAACAUGGUGUAA
This 732-nucleotide ribosomal RNA is filed under the name Triticum aestivum (bread wheat). RNAcentral describes it as "partial small subunit ribosomal RNA". Lineage: Eukaryota; Viridiplantae; Streptophyta; Magnoliopsida; Poales; Poaceae. The record is from RNAcentral.